GUAGAAACACAGGUUUGCCAGAUGUGUUCCGUGUUUGGAGAUGUCUGUUAAAAGCCACUGUCUUUGCCUGAAGCUUCAAGGUGUCAGGAUGAGUAUUUGUUGCCACUAAGGCUGCCAGAAGCAUGAAGAACAGUUAUAGCAAGUGUCUCACUCAAUCUAUGUGGCUGGAGUGUGCCCAGAAUGCACGGGAGCAUGGAAAUGCAUGGAAACUUCAUAUAACAAACUCUAACAACUCCUCACUGAAUGUAUGUGAAGAAAGACUUAUUUUCAAAGCACUGAAAUUGGCCACAUCUCAGCAUCUGUUUCUAUAGCAACUGCUAAAAGCACAACCC
This 332-nucleotide long non-coding RNA is filed under the name Gallus gallus (chicken). The record is from RNAcentral. Lineage: Eukaryota; Metazoa; Chordata; Aves; Galliformes; Phasianidae.